RNAcentral lists this ribosomal RNA (115 nucleotides) under Cordylochernes scorpioides. The record is from RNAcentral. Lineage: Eukaryota; Metazoa; Arthropoda; Arachnida; Pseudoscorpiones; Chernetidae.
AUGGCCAUACCAUAUUGAAAACACCGGUUCUCGUCCGAUCACCAAAGUUAAGCAAUAUCGGGCCCGGUCAGUACUUGGGAGGGUGACCACCUGGGAACACCAGGUGCUGUAGGCU